AACGAUGAACCUCACUUGUGGGGGGANUAGUGGCGAACGGGUGAGUAACACGUGAGUAACCUGCCCUUGACUCUGGGAUAAGCCUGGGAAACCGGGUCUAAUACUGGAUACGACCUUCCCGCGCAUGCGGUGUUGGUGGAAAGCUUUUGUGGUUUUGGAUGGACUCGCGGCCUAUCAGCNNNGNNGGUGGGGUAAUGGCCUACCAAGGCGACGACGGGUAGCCGGCCUGAGAGGGUGACCGGCCACACUGGGACUGAGACACGGCCCAGACUCCUACGGGAGGCAGCAGUGGGGAAUAUUGCACAAUGGGCGCAAGCCUGAUGCAGCGACGCCGCGUGAGGGAUGAAGGCCUUCGGGUUGUAAACCUCUUUCAGUAGGGAAGAAGCUGAUUCCUUUUGGGGUUGGUGACGGUACCUGCAGAAGAAGCGCCGGCUAACUACGUGCCAGCAGCCGCGGUAAUACGUAGGGCGCAAGCGUUAUCCGGAAUUAUUGGGCGUAAAGAGCUCGUAGGCGGUUUGUCGCGUCUGCCGUGAAAGUCCGGGGCUUAACUCCGGAUCUGCGGUGGGUACGGGCAGACUAGAGUGCAGUAGGGGAGACUGGAAUUCCUGGUGUAGCGGUGAAAUGCGCAGAUAUCAGGAGGAACACCGAUGGCGAAGGCAGGUCUCUGGGCUGUAACUGACGCUGAGGAGCGAAAGCAUGGGGAGCGAACAGGAUUAGAUACCCUGGUAGUCCAUGCCGUAAACGUUGGGCAC
Molecule: ribosomal RNA, 752 nt
Filed under: Gram-positive bacterium SY004
Lineage: Bacteria
Description: bacterial SSU rRNA
Rfam family: Bacterial small subunit ribosomal RNA
Source: RNAcentral